GACGAACGCUGGCGGCGUGCCUAAUACAUGCAAGUUGAGCGCUGAAGGUUGGUACUUGUACCCACUGGAUGAGCAGCGAACGGGUGAGUAACGCGUGGGGAAUCUGCCUUUGAGCGGGGGACAACAUUUGGAAACGAAUUCUAAUACCGCAUAAAAACUUUAAACACAAGUUUUAAGUUUGAAAGAUGCAAUUGCAUCACUCAAAGAUGAUCCCGCGUUGUAUUAGCUAGUUGGUGAGGUAAAGGCUCACCAAGGCGUUGAUACAUAGCCGACCUGAGAGGGAGAUCGGGCAACAUGGGACUGGGACACGGCCCAAAACCCUACGGGAGGCAGCAGGAGGGAAACUUCGGCAAUGGACGAAAGUCUGACCGAGCAACGCCGCGGGAGUGAAGAAGGGUGUCGGAUCGGAAAACUCUGUUGGUAGAGAAGAACGUUGGUGAGAGUGGAAAGCUCAUCAAGUGACGGUAACUACACAGAAAGGGACGGCUAACUACGUG
This 497-nucleotide ribosomal RNA is filed under the name uncultured bacterium. RNAcentral's name for it is "partial 16S ribosomal RNA". It matches the Rfam family "Bacterial small subunit ribosomal RNA", at positions 28 to 507 of the family's 1533-position model. The record is from RNAcentral.